GAGAGAGAGAGAGGGUCAUUUAUAGACAAAAGUGCAUUCACCACCGAACAAACAAACAUGCUUCCCAAUAGGGUGAACAAGUGUUCCUGUGGCUUAACGUCCUCUCCCUUCCCAGUCCAAAAAAUCCUACAAGGAACUACGGCAAGCAAAGCCCUUUGAAAGCUACAUUAUCCCUGCUGCACCACGCCAGUGCCUCAGAGCACUCCACCUCACAGGUCUGGCCGCGCACGGCCGCCUCCGGCAGCACCGCUCCCCUCAGCUCUGCUGGGGCUCAGAUCUGUGCGCCUCAGCCCCGCACUGCCAUCGCUCUAUCUCCCCUUUUCUUCCUUGGAGCGACGUCUCGGGCUCACUGUCAGUCUUCCAAACCACAAAAGACAUGGCUUGGAGGAAUGGGAAAUGGAACCGCCAGUGGAGCACAAGCCUACUUUUGUAAGAAGCUCUUGAAAACAGACCAAAACCCACAACACACACCUGAAAAGCUUUCCGUGGUAUUUGCUGUAAGCAGAUGGAAUAGUAUGCAAGCAUCUGAACCACAUUUUGAAGAUCUCAAAGGUCAUUUAAAUGAAUGAACAAUUAAGGUAUUUUUAUGAGUUUGAUUACAUCUCUCUUGUGUAUGUUUUUGAGGACUGAAGAAGGGGGUCAUAAAAUAUUGCUUCAAAGAAAAUUCCUUGGCAAUUCUGGGAAUGCCAUCAUAGCAUUUACAACAAAUCAGUAAUGGAGAAGAAGAAAAAUGACACUUAGGUCAGAUGAAUCCUGCCCUAAAUGUGGAGACAUUUUCACUGCGAGUACAAAGGAUCCUGGGGUGACUGUUAACACUGAAAUAAAAUCACAUGAAUCCCAACAUUCCUUUCUUUUGAAGAAGAGAAGAAGCACCAAUGAAUUUUUCCAUUUUGCUACAGCAUAGUAAUUUCUUAUGAAAACAUUCUUCUCCAGUAAAAGCAUACCCACAGA
This is a long non-coding RNA of Cyanistes caeruleus (blue tit), 951 nucleotides long. RefSeq lists it as uncharacterized. The record is from RefSeq and is a predicted model, not a curated record. NCBI's taxonomy places the organism in Eukaryota, Metazoa, Chordata, Aves, Passeriformes, Paridae.